UAUUUGCUUGAAAGAAUUACAGUGCUUCUAUCCAGAUGGCAUGGUCUUCAAAUGGCUAUCCAAAACCAAUGGGGUGGCCAUGAUUCCUUUCAGAAAUCCCAACAGCUUGCUGCUGAUGUCUUCUCUUGUUCCUUCAUUCCAAAGCACACCAAAUAGAAGAUUUAGAAAAUUUGCUUCACGAAAGAAUGCUGCUAUCUCUGAAUACAGAGAUCGAGGAUGGGAGCAUUGAAGCGGUAGCAGAACAGUUGAUGAUUCUGCACGAAGAAUAUAUGCAUGGAGAUCGUUAGACAACUGAAAGGUUUAAUUUGCG
Molecule: long non-coding RNA, 310 nt
Organism: Hibiscus syriacus
Lineage: Eukaryota; Viridiplantae; Streptophyta; Magnoliopsida; Malvales; Malvaceae
Exons: 3
Source: RefSeq, a predicted model, not a curated record